This 73-nucleotide transfer RNA is filed under the name Salmo salar (Atlantic salmon). It matches the Rfam family "tRNA". Rfam says of the family: Transfer RNA (tRNA) molecules are approximately 80 nucleotides in length. Lineage: Eukaryota; Metazoa; Chordata; Actinopteri; Salmoniformes; Salmonidae. The record is from Rfam by way of RNAcentral.
UCCCAUGUGGCUCAGUUGGUAGAUCAUGGCACUUACAACGCCAAUGCUGUGGGUUUGAUUCCCAUGGUGGAAC